UACGGGGGGGGCAAGCGUUGUUCGGAAUUACUGGGCGUAAAGGGCGCGUAGGCGGUUGGAUAAGUCAGCUGUGGAAACCACGGGCUUAACUCGUGGCCUGCAGUUGAGACUGUCUGGCUUGAGUGUGGGAGAGGAGAGUGGAAUUCCUGGUGUAGCGGUGAAAUGCGUAGAUAUCGGGAGGAACACCUGUGGCGAAAGCGGCGCACUGGACCACAACUGACGCUGAGGCGCGAAAGCUAGGGGAGCAAACAGG
This 253-nucleotide ribosomal RNA is filed under the name uncultured bacterium. Its description in RNAcentral is "partial 16S ribosomal RNA". It matches the Rfam family "Bacterial small subunit ribosomal RNA", at positions 524 to 776 of the family's 1533-position model. The record is from RNAcentral.